Molecule: long non-coding RNA, 483 nt
Organism: Stegastes partitus (bicolor damselfish)
Lineage: Eukaryota; Metazoa; Chordata; Actinopteri; Pomacentridae
Exons: 2
Source: RefSeq, a predicted model, not a curated record
GCUCCGUCAGCAGUGAGCCGGCGGAGAGAAACCAGAGCCACAAUGGCCACACAUCCGGAGCCAAAAUGGCCGACAGACCCGCAGCCCAGCAGCGGUCCGUGACCUCCGACCCUGCAGAGCGCCCGUCCUCCAAACCAAAGAAGAAGAAGGUGGGCCUGUUCAGAUGAGCAGUAGGACGCACACACACUCAGAACCGCAUCCACAGAAACCGCUCUGUCACUCAGACACUUCGCUUCGACACUGUUUUUAACCUUUUUACUCUGACGGACAUUUAAUCAGAUUUUAGAUUUAAGAUGUAAAUAAAUGAACUCAUCGCUCUUUUUUUUUUUAAAUGAUUCUCCGUGUAAUCAGGCUUUAGCAACAGUAUGAACAUGCAGGUAAUUAAUUGUACUUUUUAGGUUUUAAGUCGUGUGGUUUUGGAUAUUCUGGAUUGUUUGGGGAUUUUAAAGAAACUGUCAAUUAAAGAUGUAAACGUCAUUUUAA